UGUGGUGUGGUUCAGUGGCAGAGCGCUCGCUUAGCAUGUGCGAAGCCCUGAGUUCGAUCCUCAGCACCACAU
Molecule: non-coding RNA, 72 nt
Organism: Ictidomys tridecemlineatus (thirteen-lined ground squirrel)
Lineage: Eukaryota; Metazoa; Chordata; Mammalia; Rodentia; Sciuridae
Source: Rfam